This 82-nucleotide transfer RNA is filed under the name Treponema sp. RNAcentral describes it as "tRNA-Leu". It matches the Rfam family "tRNA". Rfam says of the family: Transfer RNA (tRNA) molecules are approximately 80 nucleotides in length. Lineage: Bacteria; Pseudomonadati; Spirochaetota; Spirochaetia; Treponematales; Treponemataceae. The record is from RNAcentral.
GCGAAAGUGGUGAAAUUGGCAGACACGCUAGAUUUAGGUUCUAGCGCCGCAAGGCGUAGGGGUUCAAGUCCCCUCUUUCGCA